ACGACCUUACUUGAACAGGAUCUGUUCUAUAGGAUCGUACUACUGUGUCCUUAUAUUCUAAGGAGACAGGAACCUAAAUCUGGUGGAUGACAUCUGACCGUUUGAUCAGAGCGUGAUUAACGGUUCUGGAGUGGGAACUUCAGUGACCACCACAGUUGGCUGUAGAGGAUCGUUCUCGGCUUCACUUGUGAAUCUGGGAUGGUCACACGGUUGUCUGACAGAUU
This 224-nucleotide small nucleolar RNA is filed under the name Cicer arietinum (chickpea). Its description in RNAcentral is "Plant small nucleolar RNA U3". It matches the Rfam family "Plant small nucleolar RNA U3". From Rfam's summary of the family: Small nucleolar RNAs (snoRNAs) are involved in the processing and modification of rRNA in the nucleolus. Lineage: Eukaryota; Viridiplantae; Streptophyta; Magnoliopsida; Fabales; Fabaceae. The record is from Rfam by way of RNAcentral.